RNAcentral lists this ribosomal RNA (468 nucleotides) under uncultured bacterium. RNAcentral's name for it is "partial 16S ribosomal RNA". It matches the Rfam family "Bacterial small subunit ribosomal RNA", at positions 28 to 507 of the family's 1533-position model. The record is from RNAcentral.
GACGAACGCUGGCGGCGUGCUUAACACAUGCAAGUCGAACGGAAAGGCCCUGCUUUUGUGGGGUGCUCGAGUGGCGAACGGGUGAGUAACACGUGAGUAACCUGCCCUUGACUUUGGGAUAACUUCAGGAAACUGGGGCUAAUACCGGAUAGGAGCUCCUGCUGCAUGGUGGGGGUUGGAAAGUUUCGGCGGUUGGGGAUGGACUCGCGGCUUAUCAGCUUGUUGGUGGGGUAGUGGCUUACCAAGGCUUUGACGGGUAGCCGGCCUGAGAGGGUGACCGGCCACAUUGGGACUGAGAUACGGCCCAGACUCCUACGGGAGGCAGCAGUGGGGACUAUUGACCAAUGGGCGGAAGCCUGAUGCAGCAACGCCGCGUGCGGGAUGACGGCCUUCGGGUUGUAAACCGCUUUCGCCUGUGACGAAGCGUGAGUGACGGUAAUGGGUAAAGAAGCACCGGCUCACUACGUG